GACGAACGCUGGCGGCGUGCUUAACACAUGAAAGUCGAACGGAAAGGCCCUGCUUUUGUGGGGUGCUCGAGUGGCGAACGGGUGAGUAACACGUGAGUAACCUGCCCUUGACUUUUGGAUAACUUCAGGAAACUGGGGCUAAUACCGGAUAGGAGCUCCUGCUGCAUGGUGGGGGUGGGAAAGUUUCGGCGGUUGGGGAUGGACUCGCGGCUUAUCAUCUUGUUGGUGGGGUAGUGGAUUACCAAGGCUUUGACGGGUAGCCGGCCUGAGAGGGUGAGCGGCCACAUUGGGACUGAGAUACGGCCCAGACUACUACGGGAGGCAGCAGUGGGGAAUAUUGCACAAUGGGCGGAAGCCUGAUGCAGCAACGCCGCGUGCGGGAUGACGGCCUUCGGGUUGUAAACCGCUUUCGCCUGUGACGAAGCGUGAGUGACGGUAAUGGGUAAAGAAGCACCGGCUAACUACGUG
RNAcentral lists this ribosomal RNA (468 nucleotides) under uncultured bacterium. Its description in RNAcentral is "partial 16S ribosomal RNA". It matches the Rfam family "Bacterial small subunit ribosomal RNA", at positions 28 to 507 of the family's 1533-position model. The record is from RNAcentral.